AGGUCACUGCUAUCGGUGUUCGAUUAAGCCAUGCGAGUCGUGAGGGGUAAAGCCCUCGGCGGAGUGCUCAGUAACACGUGGACAACCUACCCAAGAGUCAGGGAUAACCCCGGGAAACUGGGGAUAAUACCUGAUAGGCCAUGACAUCUGGAAUCGAGUUGUGGUUUAAACGUAAGGCUCUUGGAUGGGUCUGCGGCGGAUUAGGUUGUUGCCGGUGUAACGUACCAGCAAGCCUGUAAUCCGUACGGGUUGUGGGAGCAAGAGCCCGGAGAUGGAUUCUGAGACACGAAUCCAGGCCCUACGGGGCGCAGCAGGCGCGAAAACUCUACAAUGCAGGCAACUGCGAUAGGGGAACAUCGAGUGGCAUCCACCAUGGAUGUCUGUCCAAUCGUCUAAAAAACGAUUGUCAGCAAGGGCCGGGCAAGACCGGUGCCAGCCGCCGCGGUAAUACCGGCGGCUCGAGUGGUGGCCGAUAUUAUUGAGUCUAAAGGGUCCGUAGCCGGCUUUGCAAGUCCUAUGGGAAAUCCAGCGGCUUAACCGUUGGGCUUUCAUGGGAUACUACAUUGCUUGGGACUGGGAGAGGUAGGAGGUACUCAGGGGGUAGGGGUGAAAUCCUGUAAUCCUUUGGGGACCACCGGUGGCGAAGGCGUCCUACCAGAACAGGUCCGACGGUGGGGGACGAAAGCUAGGGGCACGAACCGGAUUAGAUACCCGGGUAGUCCUAGCCGUAAACGAUGCUCGCUAGGUGUCACGGCAGUCGUGAAUUGUCGUGGUGCCGUAGGGAAGCCGUGAAGCGAGCCACUUGGGAAGUACGACCGCAAGGUUGAAACUUAA
RNAcentral lists this ribosomal RNA (834 nucleotides) under uncultured soil archaeon. RNAcentral describes it as "bacterial SSU rRNA". It matches the Rfam family "Archaeal small subunit ribosomal RNA", at positions 21 to 859 of the family's 1478-position model. The record is from RNAcentral.